UACGAAGGGGGCAAGCGUUGUUCGGAAUUACUGGGCGUAAAGGGCGCGUAGGCGGCUUAGCAAGUCAGGCGUGAAAUUCCGGGGCUCAACCUGGGGGCUGCGCUUGAUACUGAUGAGCUUGAAUGCGGGAGAGGAUAGUGGAAUUCCCAGUGUAGAGGUGAAAUUCGUAGAUAUUGGGAAGAACACCGGUGGCGAAGGCGGCUAUCUGGCCUGUAACUGACGCUGAGUCGCGAAAGCGUGGGGAGCAAACAGG
This 253-nucleotide ribosomal RNA is filed under the name uncultured bacterium. Its description in RNAcentral is "partial 16S ribosomal RNA". It matches the Rfam family "Bacterial small subunit ribosomal RNA", at positions 524 to 776 of the family's 1533-position model. The record is from RNAcentral.